This 462-nucleotide ribosomal RNA is filed under the name uncultured Sphingobacteriales bacterium. Its description in RNAcentral is "bacterial SSU rRNA". It matches the Rfam family "Bacterial small subunit ribosomal RNA", at positions 920 to 1382 of the family's 1533-position model. The record is from RNAcentral. Lineage: Bacteria; Pseudomonadati; Bacteroidota; Sphingobacteriia; Sphingobacteriales.
CCCGGCACAAGCGGUGGAGCAUGUGGUUUAAUUCGAUGAUACGCGAGGAACCUUACCUGGGCUCAAAUGUAUGUUGACGUAUUCUGAAAGGGAUACUUCUUCGGACAAUAUACAAGGUGCUGCAUGGUUGUCGUCAGCUCGUGCCGUGAGGUGUCGGGUUAAGUCCCAUAACGAGCGCAACCCCCUAUCAUUAGUUGCCAUCAGGUAAUGCUGGGGACUCUAAAGGAACUGCCUACGCAAGUAGUGAGGAAGGCGGGGAUGACGUCAAAUCAGCACGGCCCUUACGUCCAGGGCUACACACGUGCUACAAUGGCCGAUACAGAGGGCAGCUACCUGGUGACAGGAUGCAAAUCUCCAAAGUCGGUCUCAGUUCGGAUCGGAGUCUGCAACCCGACUCCGUGAAGUUGGAUUCGCUAGUAAUCGCGCAUCAGCCAUGGCGCGGUGAAUACGUUCCCGGGCCUU